CUAAAGGCCCUUUUAAGGGCCCCCAGAACGUCAGGAAAAGAGCCA
Non-coding RNA from Ailuropoda melanoleuca (giant panda), 45 nucleotides. Lineage: Eukaryota; Metazoa; Chordata; Mammalia; Carnivora; Ursidae. The record is from Rfam.